Molecule: long non-coding RNA, 714 nt
Organism: Centruroides sculpturatus (bark scorpion)
Lineage: Eukaryota; Metazoa; Arthropoda; Arachnida; Scorpiones; Buthidae
Exons: 3
Source: RefSeq, a predicted model, not a curated record
GAAGGAUUAUUGAAAGAAUAGAAAUAAAUCAGUAGAAUUGAGCCCUGUCACUUUCAUAUUGUUUCACUUUAUGUAUUAAAUCCAAUGAAUAUUGAUAUGGCUUUGUACGAAGCCAAUAAAAGGUGUUGAGUAGAAACCUUAUUUUCAUAAUCUGUGUGAGUAUAAUCACCAUUGGUAAGCAAAUGAAAUUAUCUGCUGAUAAUAAUCUCAGUUAAAAACAGAACAGCAGUUGGGCUUUGAAAGAAAACAUUAAUAUUCGGUUAUCUGAAAUUUCAUAACAACAGUUGCAGUUGAGUCAACAGUAGAAUGAAUUGCAAGAUGUUGGACGAUCAAAAUUAAAUUGUCUCCAAUUGAAGAACCGAACAAAACUCUUUUGCUGUACAAGGGAGCUUAAGAUAUCGAGAUGGAGAAAGAAACGUCUGAAACUACAUCGAUGCAAUACCUCUUAAAUAUCAUCAAAGAAACGCAAUUGCGCUCCAUACCUUUGAGGAUUGGAUACGGAACAAACGUGUGCAUCCGACAGAGCAAAUCGUAUCUUAUCUUCUUUAAGAUAUCCCCUCUUAAGUUUGCUUUCGUUGAACAUUCUGUUAUCCUGGGGAUGCACAUGGUAAAACAAAACUGUUAUUCUUCGAAAAUUCUUUCAUUAAACUAAAGUUUGCUCCUUUAUAAUCAUGUUAUCUUUUAUUGUAAAUCGAUUUAUUUUUUAUUAUUAAA